CAGACAUGCUCCGUGCGUUCAGCCGAAAGGUGUACUCGUACGGUUGCAGGCUAGAGUCUGUUCUUGGGGUCGGAUAAGGGUCUUGGGAAUGUGGCCGGUUCGCCGGUGCCGAAAGCGUGCUUAUGGUCAUCGAAAGUGAUUUUCAAAAGGUUAGAACGGGUUAAAUUCGUUAAGGAUGUUGACGUAAUGG
Molecule: ribosomal RNA, 190 nt
Filed under: Rhizophagus intraradices
Lineage: Eukaryota; Fungi; Glomeromycota; Glomeromycetes; Glomerales; Glomeraceae
Source: RNAcentral